RNAcentral lists this long non-coding RNA (1946 nucleotides) under Heterocephalus glaber (naked mole-rat). Its description in RNAcentral is "lncRNA (ENSHGLG00000045341.1)". The record is from RNAcentral. Lineage: Eukaryota; Metazoa; Chordata; Mammalia; Rodentia; Bathyergidae.
CAAGUUCACAUGUGACUGCUUUCAGCUCCUGCCUCCCUGCUCCUCUUGUAGUCUAAUCAGUUGCUGCUUUUCAACCUGAGUCAUUUUCUCACGAUGCACCAAGAAGGCCUUGGUGGUUUCCUGCUCUAAAUGCCAGUCUCACCAUCCUAACAGCAGAGGUAGGAGUGGCCACGUUAUGACAACCUGCAUUCUGCUCACAUGAGCUUCCUUGUGGAUGAGUCAAAAGGCCUCCCUUGUGGCCUCUCCGAAGGGUGGGGUCCCGUGGAGCUGCCAAGGCCUCCCACCCCCACAGCACAGUGUCACCACUUUCACAGCCACCACCCUCCUGGAGCCAAGAAGUGAAGAAAUUGGUUAAACAAGGAAGAGACACACCCUCAGCUCAGAUUUGCUUGGAAGGCCAGUGAUUUCCACUCUUUCUUUUCAAAACAACCACACAGUUCUGGGACCCAAAUGUUGAUUGUCCUCAUGGAGGAAUGAGUCUCUGUCCACAGCAAGAACAUUCCAGAAAUGUCCAUCCAGCAUCGUCAGUGCGCCAGACAUCCAGGAGGGCCCACAGAUGGACCACACCUUGUCCAUGUUCCCAGGACGCUCCCUCCUACAAAACCACACACCCGAUGAUGGGCCAGGAGGAAAUGUCGAAGAAGAGCAUUGGGAGAGAAAGAGGCCCCACAGCAGGCCCAGGCUGCUGGUGCCAUGAUGUCCCAAUGAACCAUAGCAGGUUGGGACCAGAGCAGCCCUGGUGGUGGGGGUGGGAGAGAAAAGAGAUGACUCUUCUUGCCUUUUCUCCCUCUGCGAUCUUCACAGAGUCUUUGCCAAGAGCACAUGCGGUAAUAAAUGUGAAAGUGAGCUCUCAACUGCACAGGCGACACGGCAGAGAGGAACUGGAAGAGAAGUGCUGUGAAUGCUGUCACCUCUGGUGGGAAUCAUAUGAGAACACAGAUGGCAUCACCCACCUCCCAACCUCCCGGUCCUUUUCUUUUUCCAGUCACUUGGGUUUGAGGGUCCUUGCUAGGGGGCUUGAGCUUAGGUGGGGUUUUCUGCUAGAAGACCAGAGUGCUGGGGUAAGUGACAGAGGGAGAGGGAGAGAGACAGAGAGACAGAGACAGACAGAGACAUAGAGAGAUCCUUUAUGGUAGAGGAGCCUCCUCCUCCUGAGGCUGGGACCAGAGAAUACAGUCAUUGUAGGGAACCGCCCUUUGUCUUUCAUGGCUUUUUCUAAAUGGGUGCCCAUUAGGUUGCUGGGCACGUGGCCUGGUUUGAACGCAUCAAGAGGGGUUUGUUCCCUCAUCAAGUGAAUUUGGGAAACACUUCACCUAACAGUACAUACCCUCAUAGACAGUAAAAUGCUCAUUUAGUUUUAUAAAGAAGCUGUAAAAGUAGCUAGAGUAUAUAAAGAACUCAAAAAAUUAGAUCACCUAAAAUAAAAGACCCAAAGCAAGAAACAGCUAAGUGAAACAAACAGACACUUCUCAGGAGAAGUACACAUGGUCAACAAACAUAUGAAAAAAGUUCAAUAUCCCUGACCAUUAGAGAAAUGCAAAUUAAAGCCAUGCUAAGAUUCCAUCUUGUAUCAGAAAGAAUUGCAGUCAUCAAGAAGUCAAAGAAUGAGGGAGGCUACAAUGAAAAAGGAGCACUCCAUUGUUGGCAGGAAUGUAGACUAGAACUAUGAAAAUCAGUAUGACAUUCUCAAACAACUAAACAAUUAAAAUUAGAAAUUCCACUUGACCUAGCUAUUCUCCUUCUAGGUAUCUUCCCAAGAGUUAAAAUUAUCAUAUUACGGUGAUAUACACAUCACCAUGCAGCACAAUUUAUAAUAGCUAAAUCCUAGAAGCAGCCAGUAUGCUCAUCAACAGAGGAAUGGAUAAAGAAAAUGUGGUAUUUACACACAAUGGAGUAUUACUCUGCCAUAAAGGAUAAAUGAAUCAUUUGUAGGAAAAUGCGUGCAC